Molecule: ribosomal RNA, 133 nt
Filed under: Staphylococcus epidermidis
Lineage: Bacteria; Bacillati; Bacillota; Bacilli; Caryophanales; Staphylococcaceae
Description: partial 23S ribosomal RNA
Rfam family: Bacterial large subunit ribosomal RNA
Source: RNAcentral
CUCAAGAUGAGAUUUCCUGACUUCGGUUAUAAGAUCCCUCGAAGAUGACGAGGUUAAUAGGUUCGAGGUGGAAGCGUGGUGACACGUGGAGCUGACGAAUACUAAUCGAUCGAAGACUUAAUCAAUUUUUAAA